CCUACGGGUGGCAGCAGUAGGGAAUCUUCCACAAUGGGCGAAAGCCUGAUGGAGCAACGCCGCGUGGGUGAAGAAGGUCUUCGGAUCGUAAAACUCUGUUGUUAGAGAAGAAAGUGCGUGAGAGUAACCGUUCACGUUUCGACGGUAUCUAACCAGAAAGCCACGGCUAACUACGUGCCAGCAGCCGCGGUAAUACGUAGGUGGCAAGCGUUAUCCGGAUUUAUUGGGCGUAAAGGGAUCGCAGGCGGUCUUUUAAGUCUGAUGUGAAAGCCUUCGGCUUAACCGGAGUAGUGCAUUGGAAACUGGGAGACUUGAGUGCAGGAGAGGAGAGUGGAACUCCAGGUGUAGCGGUGAAAUGCGUAGAUAUAUGGAAGAACACCAGUGGCGAAGGCGGCUCUCUGGUCUGUAACUGACGCUGAGGUUCGAAAGCGUGGGUAGCAAACAGGAUUAGAUACCCCUGUAGUC
This 465-nucleotide ribosomal RNA is filed under the name uncultured bacterium. Its description in RNAcentral is "partial 16S ribosomal RNA". It matches the Rfam family "Bacterial small subunit ribosomal RNA", at positions 338 to 795 of the family's 1533-position model. The record is from RNAcentral.